RNAcentral lists this ribosomal RNA (381 nucleotides) under uncultured Bacillus sp. RNAcentral describes it as "bacterial SSU rRNA". It matches the Rfam family "Bacterial small subunit ribosomal RNA", at positions 1008 to 1391 of the family's 1533-position model. The record is from RNAcentral. Lineage: Bacteria; Bacillati; Bacillota; Bacilli; Caryophanales; Bacillaceae.
GCGGGAGUGCCUUCGGGAAUCGGAACACAGGUGCUGCAUGGCUGUCGUCAGCUCGUGUCGUGAGAUGUUGGGUUAAGUCCCGCAACGAGCGCAACCCUUGUCCUUAGUUGCCAGCAUUCAGUGGGGCACUCUAAGGAGACUGCCGGGGACAAACCGGAGGAAGGGGGGGAUGACACCAAAUAAUAAUGCGCCUUAUGACCUGGGCUACACACGCGCUACAAAGGGUGGGACACAGGGGUGCGAAGCCGCGAGGGGAAGCCACUCCCACAAAACCAUUUUCAGAUCGGAUUGCGGGCUGUAACUCGCCUGCAUGAAACCGGAAUCGCUAGUAAUCGUGGAUCAGAAUGCCACGGGGAAUACGCUCCCGGGCCUUGACACACC